This 90-nucleotide transfer RNA is filed under the name Chloroflexota bacterium. RNAcentral describes it as "Chloroflexi bacterium (marine metagenome) tRNA-Ser". It matches the Rfam family "tRNA". From Rfam's summary of the family: Transfer RNA (tRNA) molecules are approximately 80 nucleotides in length. Their secondary structure includes four short double-helical elements and three loops (D, anti-codon, and T loops). The record is from RNAcentral. Lineage: Bacteria; Bacillati; Chloroflexota.
GGAGAGGUGCCGGAGUGGACGAUCGGGGCGGUCUCGAAAACCGUUGUAGCCUUAGGGCUACCGUGGGUUCGAAUCCCACCCUCUCCGCCU